CCCUUAGAUGUUCUGGGCUGCACGCGCGCUACACUGAUGCGCUCAACGAGUUUUAACCUUGCCUGGAAAGGUUGGGUAAUCUUUUUAAAACGCAUCGUGAUGGGGAUAGAUUAUUGCAAUUAUUAAUCUUCAACGAGGAAUUCCUAGUAGGCGCAAGUCAUCAGCUUGCGUCGAUUACGUCCCUGCCCUUUGUACACACCGCCCGUCGCUCCUACCGAUUGGGUGUGCUGGUGAAAUGUUCGGAUCGGCCGUUUGUCGCGGUUUCCGCGUCAUGUGGCUGAGAAGUUCAUUAAACCCUCCCACCUAGAGGAAGGAGAAGUCGUAACA
This 327-nucleotide ribosomal RNA is filed under the name uncultured eukaryote. Its description in RNAcentral is "partial 18S ribosomal RNA". It matches the Rfam family "Eukaryotic small subunit ribosomal RNA", at positions 1470 to 1796 of the family's 1831-position model. The record is from RNAcentral.